Molecule: ribosomal RNA, 500 nt
Filed under: uncultured bacterium
Lineage: Bacteria
Description: partial 16S ribosomal RNA
Rfam family: Bacterial small subunit ribosomal RNA
Source: RNAcentral
AUUGAACGCUGGCGGCAUGCCUUACACAUGCAAGUCGAACGGCAGCACGGAGCUUGCUCUGGUGGCGAGUGGCGAACGGGUGAGUAAUAUAUCGGAACGUACCCAAGAGUGGGGGAUAACGUAGCGAAAGUCACGCUAAUACCGCAUACGAUCUAAGGAUGAAAGCAGGGGACCUUCGGGCCUUGUGCUCCUGGAGCGGCCGAUAUCUGAUUAGCUAGUUGGUGAGGUAAAGGCUCACCAAGGCAUCGAUCAGUAGCUGGUCUGAGAGGACGACCAGCCACACUGGAACUGAGACACGGUCCAGACUCCUACGGGAGGCAGCAGUGGGGAAUUUUGGACAAUGGGGGCAACCCUGAUCCAGCAAUGCCGCGUGAGUGAAGAAGGCCUUCGGGUUGUAAAGCUCUUUUGUCAGGGAAGAAACGGUGAAGGCUAAUAUCCUUUGCUAAUGACGGUACCUGAAGAAUAAGCACCGGCUAACUACGUGCCAGCCGCCGCGGUAA